Lemur catta (Ring-tailed lemur) is the source of this 1134-nucleotide RNA transcript. It is a transcript of the gene named ubiquitin carboxyl-terminal hydrolase isozyme L5-like, with no coding region annotated. NCBI's taxonomy places the organism in Eukaryota, Metazoa, Chordata, Mammalia, Primates, Lemuridae. The record is from RefSeq and is a predicted model, not a curated record. The transcript has a single exon.
CGGGUUUGCUGGUGCGGGUGCGGCCAAGACCGAGAAGUGGAAAGGGGCAGUGUGUGGCCAGCGCCAUUACGGGCAAUGUCAGGGAGUGGUGCCUCAUGGAAAGUAAUCCCAGGGUCUUCACUAAGCUCAUUAAAGGAUUUGGUUGCUGAGGAGCCCAAGUAGAAGAAAUAUGGAGUUUAGAGCCUGAGAAUUUUGAAAAAUUUAAGCCAGUUCAUGGGUUAAUUUUUCUUUUCAAGUGGCAGCCAGGAGAAGAACCAGCAGGUUCUGUGGUUCAGGACUCCAGACUUGACACAAUAUUUUUUGCCAAGCAAGUAAUUAAUAAUGCUUGUGCUACUCAAGCCAUAGUAAAUGUGUUACUGAACUGUACUCAUCAAGAUGUCCAUUUAGGAGAGACAUUAUCAGAGUUUACAGAAUUUUCACAAAGUUUUGAUGCAGCUAUGAAAGGUUUGGCACCGAGCUAUUCGGAUGUGAUUCGACAAGUACACAACAGUUUUGCCAGACAGCAAAUGUUUGAGUUUGAUGCAAAAACGUCGGCAAAAGAAGAAGAUGCUCUUCACUUUGUCACUUAUGUUCCUGUUAAUGGAAGACUGUAUGAAUUAGAUGGAUUAAAAGAAGGACCAAUUGAUUUAGGUGCAUGCAAUCAAGAUGACUGGAUCAGUGCAGUAAGGCCAGUGAUAGAAAAAAGGAUACAAAAGUACAGUGAAGGGGAAAUUCGAUUUAACUUAAUGGCCAUUGUGUCCGACAGAAAAAUGAUAUAUGAACAGAAAAUAGCAGAGUUACAGAAACAACUUGCUGAGGAGGAACCCAUGGAUACAGAUCAGGGUAAAGUAUGUUAAGUGCUAUUCAGUCAGAACUUGCCAAAAAUCAAAUGCUUAUUGAAGAAGAAGUACAGAAAUUAAAAAGAUACAAGAUUGAGAAUAUCAGAAGGAAGCAUAAUUAUCUGCCUUUCAUUAUGGAAUUGUUAAAGACUUUAGCAGAACACCAGCAGUUAAUAUCACUAGUAGAAAAAGCAAAAGAAAAACAGAAUGCAAAGAAAGCUCAGGAAUCUAAAUGAAGAGGAUCUUUUGGAAUGUGUACACAUUUCUGCUUCUGCACUUAAUUUCAUGGAAACCAUUAAGUAUAAAGAACUUUGAG